Molecule: transfer RNA, 71 nt
Filed under: Stegodyphus mimosarum
Lineage: Eukaryota; Metazoa; Arthropoda; Arachnida; Araneae; Eresidae
Rfam family: tRNA
About the family: Transfer RNA (tRNA) molecules are approximately 80 nucleotides in length. Their secondary structure includes four short double-helical elements and three loops (D, anti-codon, and T loops).
Source: Rfam by way of RNAcentral
GUCUUCGUGGUGUAGUGGUAGCACACUGGGCGCAUAUUCGAGAGGUCUAGGUUCGAGUCCCGGCUAGGGCA